Molecule: transfer RNA, 65 nt
Filed under: Blondelia inclusa
Lineage: Eukaryota; Metazoa; Arthropoda; Insecta; Diptera; Tachinidae
Description: tRNA-His
Source: RNAcentral
AUUUAAAUAGUUUAAUAUAAAAUAUUGAUUUGUGGGAUCAAGGAUAAGAAUUUUCUUUUUAAAUU